This 142-nucleotide unclassified non-coding RNA is filed under the name uncultured Mycosphaerellaceae. RNAcentral describes it as "sequence contains ITS2". Lineage: Eukaryota; Fungi; Ascomycota; Dothideomycetes; Mycosphaerellales; Mycosphaerellaceae. The record is from RNAcentral.
GUAACCUCAAGCUUUGCUUGGUAUUGGGCGUCGCGAGUCUCUCGCGCGCCUCAAAGUCUCCGGCUGUUCGGUUCGUCUCCCAGCGUUGUGGCAACUAUUUCGCAGUGGAGUUCGAGUCGUGGCGGCCGUUAAAUCUUUCAAA